GUGCCAGCCGCCGCGGUAAUACAGAGGGUGCGAGCGUUAAUCGGAUUUACUGGGCGUAAAGCGCGCGUAGGUGGCUAAUUAAGUCAAAUGUGAAAUCCCCGAGCUUAACUUGGGAAUUGCAUUCGAUACUGGUUAGCUAGAGUAUGGGAGAGGAUGGUAGAAUUCCAGGUGUAGCGGUGAGAUGCGUAGAGAUCUGGAGGAAUACCGAUGGCGAAGGCAGCCAUCUGGCCUAAUACUGACACUGAGGUGCGAAAGCAUGGGGAGCGAACAGGAUUAGAAACC
This 282-nucleotide ribosomal RNA is filed under the name uncultured prokaryote. RNAcentral describes it as "partial 16S ribosomal RNA". It matches the Rfam family "Bacterial small subunit ribosomal RNA", at positions 505 to 786 of the family's 1533-position model. The record is from RNAcentral.